RNAcentral lists this unclassified non-coding RNA (334 nucleotides) under soil metagenome. RNAcentral describes it as "partial contains 5.8S ribosomal RNA, internal transcribed spacer 2, and large subunit ribosomal RNA". The stretch from base 1 to 120 matches the Rfam family "5.8S ribosomal RNA", at positions 35 to 154 of the family's 154-position model. The record is from RNAcentral.
GAUGAAGAACGCAGCGAAAUGCGAUAAGUAGUGUGAAUUGCAGAAUUCAGUGAAUCAUCGAAUCUUUGAACGCACAUUGCGCCCCUUGGUAUUCCAUGGGGCAUGCCUGUUCGAGCGUCAUUUGUACCUUCAAGCUUUGCUUGGUGUUGGGUGUUUGUCCAUUCUCUUGCAGAGGGACUCGCCUUAAAGUAAUUGGCAGCCAGUGUUUUGGUUUUGAAGCGCAGCACAAGUCGCGAUUCAGAGCUAUACGCCCGCUUCCACAAGCCUUUUUCACUUUUGACCUCGGAUCAGGUAGGGAUACCCGCUGAACUUAAGCAUAUCAAUAAGCGGAGGA